This 146-nucleotide unclassified non-coding RNA is filed under the name uncultured fungus. RNAcentral's name for it is "sequence contains ITS1, 5.8S rRNA gene". The record is from RNAcentral. Lineage: Eukaryota; Fungi.
CAGGGCUUAACAUCCCCUAUAAACCAUUGUGAACCUACCUAUAUUUCUUUGGCAGGCGGCCCCAGGGCGGGGCUAGUAGCCGCAAGGUGCCUGCCAGAGGACCCAAACUCGUUGUUACCGUCGUCUGAGUAUCAUACCAAUAGUCA